This 254-nucleotide ribosomal RNA is filed under the name uncultured bacterium. Its description in RNAcentral is "partial 16S ribosomal RNA". It matches the Rfam family "Bacterial small subunit ribosomal RNA", at positions 524 to 776 of the family's 1533-position model. The record is from RNAcentral.
GACGAACCGUCCUAACGUUAUUCGGAAUUACUGGGCUUAAAGCGCGUGUAGGCGGGAUGGCGCGUCUGUCGCUGAAAUCCCUCGGCUUAACCGAGGAACGGGCGCAGAUACGGCCAUCCUGGAGGGGGGUAGGGGGACCUGGAACUUCCGGUGGAGCGGUGAAAUGCGUUGAGAUCGGAAGGAACGCCCGUGGCGAAAGCGAGGUCCUGGACCCUUUCUGACGCUGAGACGCGAAAGCCAGGGGAGCAAACGGG